AUGAUGAUCAGCUUAUGUUGUGCUUAUCUUACUCAUGCUUUUGUACUAACAUUUUGUCCUUUCAGUGCUCAAGCAAAGCUCAGCAAGAGGGCGAAGAAAAAUAAACCGGUCGAAGAGCCGGUCUUGACUGAACCGGAGGCUUAUGCUCAUGAGCCGCCAUCUGCCUCAGCUCCUGAAACCACCGCUCCAACUGACGAGCAAGUCAUAGAGGGUUCUAAUAACCUGGAGAUCCCCAGCCCAGCUCAACCGGCCGAUGACCCAGACGUUGUAAUCACCCGGAUAGAGUUUGUCGAGCCGGGGAGACCCACUGUGCUGGCUAAAUGCUCUGCCAAGGAAGAACUGCUGGAGCGCCGCAGGGCCAGACUGGAUACCACUGACUAUGCUAACUUGAGCAUUGGAGACAUUGUUUCUGGUUACAUUGGUCAAGUGCACAACAGCCGGGACCUGGAGAUUCACAUGGUGAAGCAGAUACAACAAAAAUCUGAGGCUGCCUGCAGGAAAUUUGAAUCUGAAAUCUCUGAGCUGAAGAACCGCCUAAAGACUCAGGAAACUAAGACCCGGAAGGUCAAUGCCAAAUUUGAGUUCAGUGUUGCUGCGCAAGAAAAACUGAAGAAGAAAUUUGAAACAGAAAGAAAGACUUGGGACGAGGAGAAAACUGCCUUGCUCAGCCGGGCCGAACAAGCGGAGGUUGCUCUGAUUGAGAGAACGGCCGAACUCUCCGGCUUAAAACGCCAUGUGUCACAGAUGGUCUCCGCAAUCUUUGGUCCCAGAAGCUCCAACCUUAAUCAGAAUGUUCUGACCAAGCUGAAGGCUGUUUACACCUUGGUGGAGCAACUCUACACCGGGUCACAGCGUGCUUUAGCCGUUGUGGCUCUGUCCAAUGAGGUUCCGACUCACCUGGCAGACGUACUCAGGUGGCUUGCCAUUCUUCCUCAGCGCUUCCAAGAGCUAAGACGGGCCUCUGCAAGAUCCGGAGCUAUAGCUGCUCUGAGCCGGGCCAAGGCUUUUCUCCCGGAGCUAGACCCAGCCGACAUCGCUCUUGGAUACCCCAGCCUGAAGGAAGACGGGACCCCCUUCGACCAGAAAGACUUUGCUGCCUGUGUGAAAAGCGUACGCCCGGUGUCUACCAUGAUUCGGAAUGACACAGAUCUUACCAAGUAUCAGCCGGGCUAUGACGCGGAGAAUCAGAGGAUCGCAACUCCACGCUAUGAAGCAAUCAGCCUGAUCCCGCCGACUCGUAAGCACACCUUCGCCCCAGAAGUUGACCCGGCCGGGUUAAUUGAUGAUGAGGCUCAAUUUGAAGCUUUGAGCGGCAUUGACUGGAAAUCAUCAACCUUCCAGGUCAUGGGAACAGCCGGAGGAGCGGAGAGGGAUGAGCCGGAAGCUUCGACCCAACAAGCACCUUGA
Molecule: ribosomal RNA, 1407 nt
Filed under: Triticum aestivum (bread wheat)
Lineage: Eukaryota; Viridiplantae; Streptophyta; Magnoliopsida; Poales; Poaceae
Description: partial small subunit ribosomal RNA
Source: RNAcentral